Molecule: ribosomal RNA, 460 nt
Filed under: uncultured bacterium
Lineage: Bacteria
Description: partial 16S ribosomal RNA
Rfam family: Bacterial small subunit ribosomal RNA
Source: RNAcentral
CCUACGGGAGGCAGCAGUGAGGAAUAUUGGUCAAUGGGCUUACGCCUGAACCAGCCAAGUCGCGUGAGGGAAGACUGCCCUAUGGGUUGUAAACCUCUUUUGUCAGGGAGCAACGCCGGCUACGUGUAGCCGGACUGAGAGUACCUGAAGAAAAAGCAUCGGCUAACUCCGUGCCAGCAGCCGCGGUAAUACGGAGGAUGCGAGCGUUAUCCGGAUUUAUUGGGUUUAAAGGGUGCGUAGGCGGAAUGCCAAGUCAGCGGUAAAAUCGCGGGGCUCAACCUCGCUCCGACGUUGAAACUGGCGGUCUUGAGUGGGCGAGAAGUAUGCGGAAUGCGUGGUGUAGCGGUGAAAUGCAUAGAUAUCACGCAGAACUCCGAUUGCGAAGGCAGCAUACCGGCGCCCAACUGACGCUGAAGCACGAAAGCGUGGGUAUCGAACAGGAUUAGAUACCCCUGUAGUC